This 28-nucleotide non-coding RNA is filed under the name Mus musculus (house mouse). Lineage: Eukaryota; Metazoa; Chordata; Mammalia; Rodentia; Muridae. The record is from RNAcentral.
UGAGAAUAUGCAUGGUAUCACUGUGCCC